This 407-nucleotide ribosomal RNA is filed under the name uncultured bacterium. Its description in RNAcentral is "partial 16S ribosomal RNA". It matches the Rfam family "Bacterial small subunit ribosomal RNA", at positions 30 to 526 of the family's 1533-position model. The record is from RNAcentral.
AUUGAACGCUGGCGGCAGGCCUAACACAUGCAAGUCGAGCGGAGCGGCGGACGGGUGAGUAAUGCCUAGGAAUCUGCCUGGUAGUGGGGGAUAACGUCCGGAAACGGGCGCUAAUACCGCAUACUAUCAGAUGAGCCUAGGUCGGAUUAGCUUGUUGGUGGGGUAAAGGCCUACCAAGGCGACGAUCCGUAACUGGUCUGAGAGGAUGAUCAGUCAAACUGGAACUGAGACCCGGUCCGGCCUCCUGCGGGAGGGAGCAGUGGGGAAUAUUGGACGAUGGGCGAAAUCCUGAUCCAUCCAUGCCGCGUGUGUGAAGAAGGUCUUCGGAUUGUAAAACACUUUAAGUUGGGAGGCGUUACCAACAGAAUAAGCACCGGCUAACUUCGUGCCAGCAGCCGCGGUAAUUC